GUGGGGAAUUUUGGACAAUGGGCGCAAGCCUGAUCCAGCAAUGCCGCGUGCAGGAAGAAGGCCUUCGGGUUGUAAACUGCUUUUGUACGGAACGAAACGGUCCUGGUUAAUACCUGGGGCUAAUGACGGUACCGUAAGAAUAAGCACCGGCUAACUACGUGCCAGCAGCCGCGGUAAUACGUAGGGUGCGAGCGUUAAUCGGAAUUACUGGGCGUAAAGCGUGCGCAGGCGGUGCUGUAAGACAGGCGUGAAAUCCCCGGGCUCAACCUGGGAAUUGCGAUUGUGAUGACAGUGCUGGAGUACGGCAGAGGGGGAUGGAAUUCCGCGUGUAGCAGUGAAAUGCGUAGAUAUGCGGAGGAACACCGAUGGCGAAGGCAGUCCCCUGGGCCUGUACUGACGCUCAUGCACGAAAGCGUGGGGAGCAAACAGGAUUAGAUACCCCGGUAGUCC
Molecule: ribosomal RNA, 450 nt
Filed under: uncultured bacterium
Lineage: Bacteria
Description: partial 16S ribosomal RNA
Rfam family: Bacterial small subunit ribosomal RNA
Source: RNAcentral